AAAGAACGGCAAACUGUUUAAGAACACAGAGGGCAACUCAGAGGUGAGGUCACGUCGAGCACAGACGACUUUCCUGCCAUUCUGCUAACAAUGCAUUUGCUCAGUGCCUGGAACACAGCGAGUGACUGUUGAUGUCGGUGUCAAACAUCUCGUCAGACACUGUUUGCAGCCACUCAGGAGGCAGCGCUCGAGGGAUUCUACCAUUUCAGAAGCAUUCGCUAUUGUCAACACCACUAAAUGAUCUGGAGAGCAACCUUACAACGUUUCCUGUAUUGCUGCCACUUUACAUUUGGGCCACACGUUUGGAGCGUCUCUUCCGAGGAAGUGUUGGGGAUGUCUCCAUUUCUGCUCCGAUGCGGUCCCGGGUUUUGCCCCACCAACUAGUCUUCAGGCUCAUCAAACACCAGUGGGCUCCAGACUAAGCGGUUUUGGUCGUUCAGUAGAAGCAUUAUACUUUGAGCAACAAGAUUCCAUUGACUUAGAUGUCUCUUAGAUGUUUUGUAAUUGCAUUUCUAUUGGACUUUAUAAAAAUGCCGAUUUCUAUCCAUUUUUAAUUUUAUCUUUUCUUGUUGCGACUAAUUUUUGCUGACUCACCACAUGCAAAAAGCGCGCUUCGUUCUUACUGUUUUUGGCUUACUCAUCUCCUUAGAGGAAAGGACGCUAGCUCAUGGUUUUAGGUUUAUACCAUUUACCAGAUUAAGGAGAGACCCAUUCCUGUUUUCUAGUGUUUUUAGUAAAAAUGGGUGAUAUAUUUUGCAAAACUUUUUCUGCAUUAACAUGCUUUUGUUACUAAUAUGGUUAAUUAUGUCCGUACUUAUUUUAAUAUUAACCCAGGGCAGCUAGAUGGCUCAGUUGAGAGUCAGGCCAGAAGUGACCUGGGUUCAAAUCUGACCUCAAACACUUCUUGGCCGUGUGACCCUAGACAAGUCACUUCACCCCAAUUACCUAGUCCUUUUCUGCCUUGGAAUUGAUGCAAUUCUAAGACAGAAGGUAAAAACUAAAAAUACAACAUGACAAACACCCUACAUUCUGGGUAAAUACCCUUUCUGAUGAGUGUAGACUUUGUAUGAUAUCAGGCAACUAACUAGGUGGCUCUCGCACUCCAGGCUUGGAGUGUGGAAGAGGAAUUCAAAUCGAGCCUUACAGACACUAACAGGUCUUGGGCACAUCGCGUUUGCCUCAAUUUCCUCAUGCAGAGUGACAAAGGCUUCUAGUUCCUAAGGUAGCUGAGGAUCAGAUAGCAUUUGUAACCCACUUAGGACAGCGCCUGGCACACGGACUUCAUAGAAAUGUUGGCUAGUGUGCUGUUUUCGCCCCUUUGCUAAUAUUUAAUCUAAUAUUUUGGCAUCAGUGUCCAUUUGAGAUAACUGGUCUGCAUGAGAGGUACUGCUCAGAAAUGUUUCUGCACUGUCUGGGGAUCUUAUUCCUAUUUCCUCCAUCACUUUGUAAGAGAGGAAUCAUUUGUGCCAGUCUAGCAGAUAGUGGCAAGCCUGGAGUUCGUUACACUCCUCUUCCCAAGUUCAAAUCUGGUCUCAGAUACGUAACAAGUCGUGUGUCCCUGAGGGAGUCAUUGAACUGCUCACCCGUUUCCUCAUCUGUAGAACAUGUUGGAGAGAAGAAAACGGCAGACUAUUCCAGCAUCUUUGCCAAGAAAACCCUACAUUAAAAAUAUUUUUUAAAAUUCCUCUAGUAUUUCUUUUUUUGGGAUUAAGACCAAUCCAUAUUUUUCUUUGAGGCUUUGGAUGCAGCAGUAUUAAUUUUGUCUUCUUAGUUUGCAUUUUAGAAUUUCUUGUCACCAAAAUAACUUUCCAUGUCAAGUUUCUUUUUUUUUUUGUUUACUUAUUUUCCAGCUUUUUGGCCUCCCAAACCCUAUCAUAGAUGGCCUCCUCUCCAUUCCUUUGGUGAAAGGGGCAUUAUUCCAAGCUUCAGAUUAUUUGCACAGUUGCAUUCAGAGCUAGCUUUGAGAACCAAUAAAUAUUCACUUCUUUCAAGGGAGUAUGAUUUA
Long non-coding RNA from Monodelphis domestica (gray short-tailed opossum), 2005 nucleotides. The record is from Ensembl. Lineage: Eukaryota; Metazoa; Chordata; Mammalia; Didelphimorphia; Didelphidae.